CGAGCGGACCGACGGGAGCUUGCUCCCUUAGGUCAGCGGCGGACGGGUGAGUAACACGUGGGUAACCUGCCUGUAAGACUGGGAUAACUCCGGGAAACCGGGGCUAAUACCGGAUGCUUGAUUGAACCGCAUGGUUCCAAUCAUAAAAGGUGGCUUUUAGCUACCACUUACAGAUGGACCCGCGGCGCAUUAGCUAGUUGGUGAGGUAACGGCUCACCAAGGCGACGAUGCGUAGCCGACCUGAGAGGGUGAUCGGCCACACUGGGACUGAGACACGGCCCAGACUCCUACGGGAGGCAGCAGUAGGGAAUCUUCCGCAAUGGACGAAAGUCUGACGGAGCAACGCCGCGUGAGUGAUGAAGGUUUUCGGAUCGUAAAACUCUGUUGUUAGGGAAGAACAAGUACCGUUCGAAUAGGGCGGCACCUUGACGGUACCUAACCAGAAAGCCACGGCUAACUACGUGCCAGCAGCCGCGGUAAUACGUAGGUGGCAAGCGUUGUCCGGAAUUAUUGGGCGUAAAGCGCGCGCAGGCGGUUUCUUAAGUCUGAUGUGAAAGCCCCCGGCUCAACCGGGGAGGGUCAUUGGAAACUGGGGAACUUGAGUGCAGAAGAGGAGAGUGGAAUUCCACGUGUAGCGGUGAAAUGCGUAGAGAUGUGGAGGAACACCAGUGGCGAAGGCGACUCUCUGGUCUGUAACUGACGCUGAGGCGCGAAGCGUGGGG
RNAcentral lists this ribosomal RNA (722 nucleotides) under uncultured Bacilli bacterium. RNAcentral's name for it is "bacterial SSU rRNA". It matches the Rfam family "Bacterial small subunit ribosomal RNA", at positions 63 to 766 of the family's 1533-position model. Lineage: Bacteria; Bacillati; Bacillota; Bacilli. The record is from RNAcentral.